This 265-nucleotide ribosomal RNA is filed under the name uncultured Eubacteriales bacterium. Its description in RNAcentral is "uncultured Clostridiales bacterium partial 16S ribosomal RNA". It matches the Rfam family "Bacterial small subunit ribosomal RNA", at positions 74 to 339 of the family's 1533-position model. The record is from RNAcentral. Lineage: Bacteria; Bacillati; Bacillota; Clostridia; Eubacteriales.
UUGCUGCUUGGUAUUUCUAGCGGCGGACGGGUGAGUAACGCGUGAGCAACCUGCCUUUAUCAGGGGGAUAACGCAUCGAAAGAUGUGCUAAUACCGCGUAAGACCACAACUUCACAUGGAGCAGGGGUCAAAGGAGCAAUCCGGAUAAAGAUGGGCUCGCAUCCGAUUAGCUAGUUGGUGAGAUAACAGCCCACCAAGGCGACGAUCGGUAGCCGGACUGAGAGGUUGAACGGCCACAUUGGGACUGAGACACGGCCCAGACUCC